GGAUGUGAGGAUGAUUUGGCUGCACCCAUUGAUGGCCAGAGUUGAUUCAGCUGAUCUGGCUGGCUAGGUAGGUGCCCCUUCCUCUCUCGCUGUUCCACAUGCAGCCCUCCUGAAGCUGCACACUGGGUCAAAGGGAGUGACUUUCCCCCAACGGAGGAGGAUGGAUCUUCAGUCAAAGAUAUUCAGAUGGCUGCACUCCCCUGUUAGAACCUCCAAACAGGCCCUCAUAAAAUCCUAAGCACACAAAACCAAAGAAUAACCUCUCCACAAAACAUCAUAAUCAAGAGAU
RNAcentral lists this small nuclear RNA (289 nucleotides) under Jaculus jaculus (lesser Egyptian jerboa). RNAcentral describes it as "7SK RNA (ENSJJAG00000003771.1)". It matches the Rfam family "7SK RNA". From Rfam's summary of the family: 7SK was discovered as an abundant small nuclear RNA in the mid-70s but a possible function has only recently been suggested. Two independent studies have found that 7SK RNA binds the CDK9/cyclin T complex (known as elongation factor P-TEFb). The record is from Rfam by way of RNAcentral. Lineage: Eukaryota; Metazoa; Chordata; Mammalia; Rodentia; Dipodidae.